CAUAGUUAUUGAGAAGCUACCUAGGACUUUGUUGCUUUCCAUCAUUCCAUGUACCUGUCCUUACAGUUUCAUUGGAGAUGUUUUCUAUAUUUUCAAGUCAAGUAUUUCUGUCUAGUUAGGCAUGUGUCCACUUAUUUGGACAAAAGAUUAACAGAUGAGUUUAUGAUAUAGACCUUACAUUUGAAGGCAUAAAAGAUUUUGUUAUUGGCUCUAGAUCAUUAUUUUGUUCAUUAUGUAACUAAUUGAUCCUCAUAUUUAACAUAAAUGCCCUAAGGUCAGAAGAAGUCAUCACAUGAUAACUCUUUUGAUGCCUGAAUGGAACUUGGGGAGUAGGAACUACUGUAAAGUGUUCCAUGAAAAAGGUUCAUCUGAUAAUAAUUUAUGUAAAUUUGGUCUUUUGUUGAGGCUAGGACCACAUGCUUAAGAAUUAUAACUCUGUCUACAGGUCAUACCUUUGGCCAACGAUCACAAGUUAAGAGGGACUUAGCCUUCACACUUGACAACAAUACUUAAUAAUUGUGCAUCAGAACUUUUAUUUGCAUAGCUCUUGUUUCUUUCUGAGCUUGUAUGAUUAUAAAAACAGGUAAAAGUAGGUGAAUGAAAAGCUAAAUAUGCCUAUAAUUUCUUGUGGAUGGGAUUGUGUAUUGGAUUUGGAACCAAGGCUGGCUCUAUGAAUCAGUAGUGGUAUAAGGCAUCUGACAGGCUUCCUUGUUUGACUUACCUGCUUUUUACUUAACCAGCAAGUAUUUGUUAGAAUUUAUAAUGUAAGUAUACAUACAUGUUUUUGUAUCUACUAUCAUAUAUCUUAAACUCUUAGCAGUUUGAUGUAUGAUUUGUGUAUAUAAAUGUAUGUGUGUAUGCAUAGGACUUUUUGUAACUUUUUGUAUUUAUUUUGUCUUUAUUUUUCAUGCCUUUUUCUAAGCCUUUUUCUUUUCCUUUUUUUAUUAAGAAAGGAAGUAGCUGUUGGGAGUUCCCAACGGCUAGAAAUCUAGCCGUUGGGAGCCCCAACAGCCACUUCCUCUUCCUCUUUUCUUCCUCCUUUCUUAUAUACUUCCUCUAUAAAUAGGGCACUUGGGACCUUUGUUCUUUUAAGGCUUUUUGGCCUCUCUUGUGUAUUCUUCUCUUGAGAUUAAUAUAUUUGGUAUCUUCUCCUCAAGUUUGAGGUUUGGCUUUGCAUUAUCUAUUGAAGUUGUUGGGAUCUUCAAGAGUGUAUCUCUUGAAGCAUUUGUAUUCUCGAAUUUGGACCUGAUUUACAUGGUAUCAGAGCAAGGUUGUGGCUCUUUGUCGUGCUGUUUUUUUUCAAGACUUGAAGUUUCAGCUAUUACUCUUUCUUUGGAGCUGUGAAGCACUCCAAGUGUUCGAUGUAUUGUCGGCUGUGAUUUAACACAAACACAAGAGGGUUUUGUUUGCUGACCUCUUUUGGUGAUAUUUGUGACGGGAUCAAGCUUCCUUGAGGUGAAGAUUGAAGCUGUUUUUGGCACAUCAAAAGCUUCUUUUUUUGUGGCUGUUUUUCAUCCUAACACUACCUCAACGUCUCCUCUACAAGGUACACAUUAUGGAUGAAAGAAAUUCUACUCCUCCUCUCCCUAAACUUACUUCAUCAAACUAUGUUUCUUGGGCAAAAACUAUGGAACAUUUCAUUAGAAGUAAAGGCUUAUGGGGACUUGUUGAUGGAUCUAAAAGUGAACCUCAAUUAGUCCUAACCAAAACCAUAGAUGGUAAAGCCCAAGAACUAGAUGGAGUGGAAAAAGACAAGGUCAUGAGUGAAUACGAGAGAAAAUGGGAAGAGUGGAAGAUAGGACAUCACAAGAUUAUCACUUGGAUUAUUGCUUGUGUUGAUACUACAACUAUGGGCCAAAUAGCAAAACAUAAUUUUGCUCAUGAUGCUUGGGAUUUCCUCAAGAAAACCCACACUAUGAAAGAUGUGGCUUACAUGUGCAAUCUUCAAAUGAAGAUUGCAAGUCUCCAACAAGGGGAUAAGUCCAUUAAGCAAUACGUUGGAGAAAUGGAGCAAUUAUGGGACGAACUUGCCCUAUUUGAACCCGAAUGGUAUGAUCCAAGAGACAUUGGAGUGAGGGAAAAACAAAUCCAAAGGGAAAAAUUUUAUAAAUCCAUUCUUGGUCUUAGACCGGAAUAUGAUGGAGUCAAAACUUCCUUGCUUCAUAGACAUAAGGUGCCAUCUAUGAAUGAAGCCAUAGCCGAGCUUCAAAUGGAGGAGAAUAGACUCAAUUUUUGUAAAGAAAAGAGUGAAAGUGUUCUUGCUACUUCAAGACCCGGUGCUCAUAUGAGAACUUAUAGACCUCCUCAUUUUAAUCGAAAUUAUGAGAAUAAUGGCAACAAGAAGAUUAUAUGUUUCCAUUGUCAAGAAGAAGGACACACUAAACCUAGGUGUCCUAAAUUGAGGAGAUUUGACAAAAAGACAAGUGUGGCUGGGACAAUGUAUGAAGAAAGCAAUCGAUUUGACCUAGACAAGCUUAUUGAUGCUCUUCAACCACUACUCAAAGGGAAAGGGACUUCUCCAACUUCCGGAGCAACGAUAGCAUCUACAUCUUCAAGUAAGUACUCUUGGAUUCUUGAUUCUGGAGCUUCUUUUCAUAUGACCCCUUGUAGUUCAUUACUUACCGAAUGCACUAAGGAGGAAUCGUGCCCUUUUGUUAAAACCGCCGAUGGAACUCCUCUUGAAAUCAGAUGUGUUGGGAAUAUUGAUCAAAAUUUUGAUUCAAAAGUUUUCAAAAUACCAAAAGUUAGAUUCAUUCCCAAACUUAACUUAAAUCUCUUGUCGGUUUCUCAAAUAACAAAUCAUGGAUGUGAUAUUGUCUUCUCACAAAAUAAAUUUUUGAUACAGGACCAUCUUUCCAAGAAGACGAUUGGGGAAGGUUCUAGGAAAGAUGAUCUCUACUAUGUUGAUUAUUUGGAUCUUUCCAACCCAACUUGCAAUGUAGUCAAGAAGAGUGACAUCCAAAUUUGGCAUCAAAGACUUGGACAUUCAAGUUUAGGAAAAAUGACUUGUAUCCCUUUUUUGGAAGAGAAAUGUAAAGAAAUGAUCUCAUGUGAUGAUUGUAUUAAAGCCAAAAUUAAGGCUUUACCUUUUGGAAAUAGAAAUUUUGUUGCAAAAGCACCUUUUGAAUUAGUGCAUUCGGAUGUAUGGGGUCCCGCUCCUAUUAUGUCUAAAGGUGGUUUACUUUAUUAUGUCAUUUUUGUAGAUGAUUACUCUCGUUAUGCUUGGGUUUACUUUCUUAAAUGCAAAUCGGAAGUCUUUUUGAAUUUCAAAAACUUUUACAACAUGAUCAAAACUCAAUUUGAUGCAAACCUUAAAAUUUUUAGAAGUGAUUCCGGAGGAGAAUUCAUUUCCAAUGAAUUCGAAGAAUUCCUAAAGGAAAAGGGAGUUAUACACCAAAAGUCUUGUCCCAAAACCCCCCAACAAAACGGAAUCGCCGAAAGAAAACAUAGACAUAUUCUUGAAACAACAAGAGCUCUCCUUAUAUCAAAAAAUGUUCCAAAAAAUUUUUGGGCUGAAGCAAUUCUUACAUCCAUUUACUUGAUUAAUAGAAUGCCCUCUAAAAUUUUAGAAAAUAUUUCACCUUUUCAAAAACUUUUUAAUUUGGAGCCAAUUUAUAAAAGAUUCAAAGUCUUUGGUUGCAAAUGUUACAUUUUAAAUGACAAAAAUGAUAAACUUUCAUCUAGGGCUAUUCAAUGUGUCUUUAUUGGCUAUUCCGAAACUCAAAAAGGAUAUAGAUGCUAUGAUAUUGAAAAAGAUAAGGUCUAUGUUUCUAGAAAUGUGAUUUUUUUAGAAGAAGAAAAUGGCUUUAAUGAAAAUAAACCCAAGCAUGAAGAUGAAUAUUCCUUUUUAUGGAUAAAAGAUGAUGAUUAUGAUAAUGAUGAUGAUGAUGUUUUGCACUCUUCAUACGAUGAUGCUCUAAAUGAGGUUGAUAGCACUUCUUUUAAUAGACCACCACCAAGGGAUGUAAUAGUUUAUGAGAGAAGGUCUCAACAAAACAUCCAAGAGUCUCAACCUACUCUUAGGAGAUCUGAAAGAGAUAUUCAUCCACCUCAAAAAAUUGUCUCCUACGAGUCUUUUUCUCCAAAACAUAGAGCUUGCUUAUUAGCUAUUCACUCUCUUGAUGAACCUUCAUCCUAUGUUGAAGCCAAAACUAACCCACUUUGGGUUGAAGCCAUGAACAAUGAACUUAAAGCCCUUGAUGAUAAUAAAACUUGGGACAUUGUGUCUCUUCCUAUCGGGAAAAAGACAAUAGGAUGUAGGUGGGUUUACAAAAUCAAAACUAGAAGUGAUGGAUCUAUUGAAAGGUAUAAAGCUAGACUUGUUGCCAAAGGAUAUGCCCAAGAAUAUGGGAUUGAUUACGAAGAAACUUUUGCCCCUGUCGCUCGUAUGACCUCUGUUAGAGCUCUUAUUGUUGUUGCUUCUAUUAAACAAUGGUCCAUAUAUCAAUUGGAUGUCAAAAAUGCUUUUUUGAAUGGUUACUUAAAUGAGGAGGUAUACAUGGACUCACCCCCUGGGCUAGAUGUACCUAAAGGCAAAGUUCUUUAUCUCAGAAAGGCAUUGUAUGGUUUGAAACAAGCUCCAAAAGCUUGGUUUGAUAUGUUUAGCAAUGUUAUGUUUAAACAAGGUUUUAAAUCACGUUUUUCUGACACAGCUAUGUUUGUUAAAAACACAACUAUAGGUACAAUUGUGUUGCUUUUAUAUGUAGAUGAUAUGAUUGUUACAGGUAAUGAUGCCAACGGAAUUAUGCAGGUAAAGACUUUCCUUAAGAAUGAAUUUGAAAUGACUGAUUUGGGUAAACUAACAUAUUUCCUUGGUAUUGAAGUUGCUUAUAGUAGAAGAGGAUACUUGCUCUCACAAAUGAAGUUUGCCAAUAACAUUAUAAGCAGAUCAGGAAUCACUGAUGACAAGGUAGUGGACACUCCUGAAGCUUUAGGAGUAAAGAUGAAGAUUGAUGAUGGAGAAAUUCUAGAAAAUCCCACCCCCUUUCGUCAAUUGGUGGGAGCUCUCACAUAUUUAUCCAUCACAAGGCAUGACAUAUCACAUGCUGUACAUGUUAUAAGUCAGUUUCAACAAAGACCCACUUCAUUACACAUGGGAGCUGCAUUGAGGAUUGUUCGAUAUGUCAAACACACUAUCACUAAGGGACUUUUUCUAUCAUCCUCAUCAAACUUGAAUAUGAUUGCUUAUACUGAUGUUGAUUGGGGUGGAGAUCCUAAUAAUAGGCAUUCCACCACCGGUUUUUGUGUUUUUCUAGGUGACUCUCUCAUUUCAUGGAGAUGCAAAAAACAACAUAAAGUCUCUUUAUCUUCAACUGAAGCAUAGUAUCGUGCAAUGGCUACCACCACCAUGGAGAUUGUAUGGUUGAAAAGCUUAUUGAAGGACAUUGGAAUUGACCUCAAUGAAGCCACCAAGCUCUGCUGCGACAACAAAAGUGCCAUCUAUAUUGCUAGCAAUCACACUUUUCAUGAAAGGACAAAACAUAUUGAAAUGGAUUGUCACUAUGUGAGAGAGGAAUAUCUUAGCCGAACAAUUGAUCUAUCUUUUGUCCCUUCUGAAUAUCAACUUGGAGAUUUCUUCACCAAAGCACUGGCUUCCGCAAGAUUCCAGUUUCUUCUUGGCAAACUUUCGGUGAUUACACCGUAAGUUUGAGGGGGGGUGUUAGAAUUUAUAAUAUCACUUUAGCUCUUCUUCUUGGUGGUGACUAUUCUCAAAAGGUUCAUGGAAUAGGCCAGG
Nymphaea colorata (pocket water lily) is the source of this 5734-nucleotide RNA transcript. It is a transcript of the gene named single-strand DNA endonuclease 1, with no coding region annotated. The transcript has 2 exons. Lineage: Eukaryota; Viridiplantae; Streptophyta; Magnoliopsida; Nymphaeales; Nymphaeaceae. The record is from RefSeq and is a predicted model, not a curated record.